UACGUAGGGCGCAAGCGUUGUCCGGAAUUAUUGGGCGUAAAGAGCUCGUAGGCGGCCUGUCGCGUCCGCUGUGAAAUCCCAGGGCUUAACCCUGGGCGUGCAGUGGAUACGGGCUGGCUGGAGGCAGGCAGGGGAGAACGGAAUUCCCGGUGUAGCGGUGAAAUGCGCAGAUAUCAGGAGGAACACCGAUGGCGAAGGCAGCUCGCUGGGACGGUACUGACGCUGAGGCGCGAAAGCGUGGGGAGCGAACAGG
This 253-nucleotide ribosomal RNA is filed under the name uncultured bacterium. Its description in RNAcentral is "partial 16S ribosomal RNA". It matches the Rfam family "Bacterial small subunit ribosomal RNA", at positions 524 to 776 of the family's 1533-position model. The record is from RNAcentral.